This 66-nucleotide transfer RNA is filed under the name Actinomycetes bacterium. RNAcentral's name for it is "Actinobacteria bacterium tRNA-Ser". It matches the Rfam family "tRNA". Rfam says of the family: Transfer RNA (tRNA) molecules are approximately 80 nucleotides in length. Their secondary structure includes four short double-helical elements and three loops (D, anti-codon, and T loops). Lineage: Bacteria; Bacillati; Actinomycetota; Actinomycetes. The record is from RNAcentral.
UAGAGCGGAAGCGGCAAGACCGGCCUGUCACGCCGGAGGUCGCGGGUUCGAGUCCCGUCGCUCCCG